UACGGGGGGGGCAAGCGUUGUUCGGAAUUACUGGGCGUAAAGGGCUCGUAGGCGGCCAACUAAGUCAGACGUGAAAUCCCCAGGCUCAACCUGGGAACUGCGUCUGAUACUGGAUGGCUUGAAUCCGGGAGAGGGAUGCAGAAUUCCAGGUGUAGCGGUGAAAUGCGUAGAUAUUGGGAGGAACACCAGUGGCGAAGGCGGCUCACUGGACCGGAACUGACGCUGAGGCGCGAAAGCGUGGGGAGCAAACAGG
RNAcentral lists this ribosomal RNA (253 nucleotides) under uncultured bacterium. RNAcentral's name for it is "partial 16S ribosomal RNA". It matches the Rfam family "Bacterial small subunit ribosomal RNA", at positions 524 to 776 of the family's 1533-position model. The record is from RNAcentral.